GACAGAGGGUGCAAACGUUGCUCGGAAUUACUGGGCGUAAAGCGCGUGUAGGCGGGUCAGCAAGUCAGGCGUGAAAUCCCUAGGCUCAACCUAGGAACUGCGCUUGAAACUGCUGGUCUUGAGUGACGGAGAGGAAAGCGGAAUUCCUGGUGUAGAGGUGAAAUUCGUAGAUAUCAGGAGGAACACCGGUGGCGAAGGCGGCUUUCUGGACGUCUACUGACGCUGAGACGCGAAAGCGUGGGGAGCAAACAGG
RNAcentral lists this ribosomal RNA (253 nucleotides) under uncultured bacterium. RNAcentral's name for it is "partial 16S ribosomal RNA". It matches the Rfam family "Bacterial small subunit ribosomal RNA", at positions 524 to 776 of the family's 1533-position model. The record is from RNAcentral.